GUAGGGAAUCUUCCGCAAUGGACGCAAGUCUGACGGAGCAACGCCGCGUGUGUGAAGAAGGUCUUCGGAUCGUAAAGCACUGUUGUUAGAGAAGAACAGCCGGUAGAGUAACUGUUACCGGAUUGACGGUAUCUAACCAGAAAGCCACGGCUAACUACGUGCCAGCAGCCGCGGUAAUACGUAGGUGGCAAGCGUUGUCCGGAUUUAUUGGGCGUAAAGGGAGCGCAGGCGGUGACUUAAGUCUGAUGUGAAAGCCCACGGCUCAACCGUGGAGGGUCAUUGGAAACUGGGUCACUUGAGUAUAGAAGAGGAAAGUGGAAUUCCAUGUGUAGCGGUGAAAUGCGUAGAUAUAUGGAGGAACACCAGUGGCGAAGGCGACUUUCUGGUCUAUAACUGACGCUGAGGCUCGAAAGCGUGGGGAGCAAACAGGAUUAGAUACCCCUGUAGUCC
This 450-nucleotide ribosomal RNA is filed under the name uncultured Facklamia sp. Its description in RNAcentral is "bacterial SSU rRNA". It matches the Rfam family "Bacterial small subunit ribosomal RNA", at positions 354 to 796 of the family's 1533-position model. Lineage: Bacteria; Bacillati; Bacillota; Bacilli; Lactobacillales; Aerococcaceae. The record is from RNAcentral.